CGAGGGACAGCCCCUGAACUGCGGCGGGGACCGGAGAACAGCGGCCCAGUGGAGGCACGGGGGCCCGGAGCAGGAUUUUCCCGGACCGGGGGGCGCUUCACCCGGGCUUUCCCCCGUACCUCCCAUUCACGUGGCGGAUGCAGACCCACGGCCGCUGGUGGGGAGAGUUUAAGGGAAAAAAAUUACGAGGCUUCGACCGUUCCUAGGUUUAUCGGUUUAUUUUUCAGCAGAACGACUGGGGCCCUUCCCAAAGGCCAAAACAAAUUUCAGCUCCAAGCCCGGCGGGCAGUCCCGCUUCUCGCUCCCAUCAGCGCCUGCAGCCAUACACCCGCGCACACUCAUGGCCCGCAGCCCAUCUCCCACGGAGCCCGCCGAGACACGGAAUCGAUCCACUGGCGUGGUCGCAGGUGGGCUCUGCUCCGCUCCCCUGCCCGAGCUUCCCCCUCUGCCCUACGGCCACCGGCGUGCCGUGAUAUCGAGCAAGGGGCAGUGGGGUUCGGGAGUGGGGCACACCGCCGCUGCCCGCCAGCGGAGCGGCCCCGGAGCCCCGCUCGGGGUGCUGCCGGGACUGGGGAUGUGCCGGGCUUAGAGACGCGAGGCCGACGAAGGGGCUCUCUCCCCGCUGCCUCACCCGGAACAGCCUCGCCACCCCCAGCACGCCGGCCCCCACUGAGAGCUGACAUGGACACAAACCUGUUUCUAAACGCUAUCAUUUCUCUCCCGGCCAUCCCGCCUUCAACGGAGCCGCAUCCUAAGACCGGCGGCCUCGCGGGGCUCCGCGGCUGGGCCCGAGCGACCCUACGGGACCCCCGGCAGCCCGGCUCCGAAAACUGUGGCCUCCCUCUCUUUUGCUUCCCUUCCCACCAACCUUUCUUCGCUCUCAUUUUCUUACACAGAAAUAGCCUCGCCGGAGCUUUCCUCCAGCUUGCCCUGAAGCGCGACCUGCCGUGCCACCCUCCGCUCCGGGGUAGGGGGUUCUUCCCUGGAGGAGGUGCCCCCACAGAAGCGGCGCAAAUGCACGGCAGACCCCGAGCCCCUUCUCGUGCCUUCAGGUGCUCGCCUUGCCUCUCACAACCGAGCCGGCCUCGGCAACGCGAGCAGCCCAGGAGCUCUGACCUCGCGCAGGAAAAGGAACGAAAAACAUUUUAUUGUCCUAAAAACAGGCCGCGGGGCUCCCGCCUCCCCUUCUGCCGCCCGACACGGCCUGAGAGAGACCACAGGGAGACGGCGGCGGGGCCGCAGCGGGGCAGGCCAGGCACCACGCGUGUGCCAGCGCGGCCGUGA
This 1284-nucleotide long non-coding RNA is filed under the name Parus major (Great Tit). RNAcentral's name for it is "lncRNA (ENSPMJG00000001607.1)". The record is from RNAcentral. Lineage: Eukaryota; Metazoa; Chordata; Aves; Passeriformes; Paridae.